Molecule: long non-coding RNA, 539 nt
Organism: Stomoxys calcitrans (stable fly)
Lineage: Eukaryota; Metazoa; Arthropoda; Insecta; Diptera; Muscidae
Exons: 2
Source: RefSeq, a predicted model, not a curated record
GGGUUGCAUCGACCUGCUGCGAAACAAUUGGUCUGCCUGUUUUUUGGGAUAAUGAAACAAUUUCAUAAACAGAAUACCGUUACCCUUAGGAAUGCGAGUAAAUGAAAUGAGAGAAAGAAAACAAACAAAGGAUUCAGUCUGUCAUAAAGUUUUGCGAUGUAUUGACGCAGACAGAUCGGUGGUGUAAAAGAGUUUAAUGUAAAAGAAAUAAAGUGAUGUACUUUUGUUACGAAUGUGACCUUAGAAUAUGAUAUGGAUGAUAACCAUGUAAAAAAGUCUUUUAAACCUUUGAAGAACUUUUAUGGCGCUCUUCAUGAUGUUUCGGGUUCAACAGAGGCACAACUGCCCAAAGCCAUACAACACAAAAAAGCGGCAUUUCAAAAAUUUAAAUAUUUUUGGUGAAUAUUGACUAAUUUUAAUGAUUUUUUAAAAGUUUUUUUUCCGAUUUUUUGCCUUAUGCAUGCCUAUGUACUUUAAUUCUUCUUGUUUUGUCAUUAUAAUAUUAAAAUAGAAAUGAAACCAAUUUUAAGAAAACAAAA